AAUACGCUGCCGCACAAUGGACCCAACUAUUUAUCAACAAAUUAUUGCCUACAAAACAAAACAAGAAUACCCAAAUGGUAUUACGAAGAAGGAGAAGUACGUUUUGAGAAGAAAAGCUUCUUUUUACGACGUUGAGGGUAGGAGACACAUCGUACAUAAAUCAAGCAAAUUAGAUCCAGAGACGCACCAAAAAUUCACAUUGCAGAACCUGCAAAUUGAGUGCAACUCAAGCUAUGUUUUUUUUUCUUUCAAGUAACUAUUUGUGGAUCUAUUGAGUAAAUAUUUGAUAAAUUAUCAAACUAAAGUAACAUAUUUGGCUGUAGACCCAUUGAGUGAACAUUUGAUAUAUUAACUAAUGUUAAUAUAUCUAAUUAUCAAACAUUAUUAACUAGUGGGUUUUUUUUGUCCAAGUAGCAAAUUUGCAAUUAGGUGUAUUGAGUGAGCACUUGAUGAAUUACCACAAGUAUGGUGCUAAUUCAACGUUUUAUUUUUACUUCUACUCAGGAGGGGAGCUGUAUUAUUGCCGCCAAAAAGGCACAGACCAGGCAGUCCAAGUGAAGGUUGUCUGUGGUGCUGAAGAGGCAAAUGACAUUUUUAAGAGUUUUCAUGCCAGCCCGGCAGGGGCACACACCGGGCAAAAUAAAACUAGACACAGCAUCUCUCUGAGAUAUUACUGGCCAGCGAUGUCUGUUGACAUUAAUGAGUGGGUGUCUCAGUGCACCGAAUGUCAGGCAGCCGGCAUAUCAAUAAAAAGCCCAACAGAGGUCAUGCCUAUACAGGUGUCUCAGCCAUUCGAACUCUUGGGGAUGGACCUCAUCGGCAAACUGGCUCAGACAAAAGAUGGAUACCAAUAUAUUUGCGUGAUGGUCGAUUAUUUCACAAAAUGGCCUCAAGCCUAUCCAUUGAGGUCGAAGUCUGCUGCUGAUGUUACCGCCUGCAUCCUAAAAUUCGUCUACCAAUUUGAGUCACC
Syngnathus typhle (broad-nosed pipefish) is the source of this 970-nucleotide long non-coding RNA. RefSeq lists it as uncharacterized. The record is from RefSeq and is a predicted model, not a curated record. The transcript is spliced from 3 exons. Lineage: Eukaryota; Metazoa; Chordata; Actinopteri; Syngnathiformes; Syngnathidae.